ACGGGUGUGGCCCUAAAAAGACAAAAGACAAAAAAAAAAAAAAUUACACAGACGUGGAGGGUGUGUGCUCUGCAUUUGGGACCACGAGAGGAGGUGUUCUCUUCAAACUCAGGCCCUGAACAGUGUUAAAGUUGUGCUGUAGCCACAGGAACUGUCCCGGGAGGACCAGGUCCCCAAACCAGCGCCCCCCCUGGCUUUUUUUUUCUGAAUGUGGACUUUGUCCUUGCUUGAAAUUCCCCACCUGGAGGCCAUCUGUGCCUCUCUCAAGGCUCAGUAAAUGCCUCUUCCUCUUGGAAGCUUUUGCUGACUCUGGGAAACAUUAGACAGUCCAGCCACCGUGUGCCUUACACAUUCCUGACACGUCAUACGUCCUUGUAAAAUAUUCAUUGGGUAUCUGGUAAAUAAAUGUAACAGCACAUUAGUCUGUAACUUUUUGUACGCGUGUAACCCAUCUCCAGAGUCUGAGCUCCUUGAAAGCAGUGCGUGAUCUGCAGCUCUUUUAGAAUAUUUGUUAAAUGAAAUGCUUGAGGUUAAGGCAUCGGGGCUGAGACAGCAGAAACCUAGGAGGUGACGCUUCAGUCUAAACAGAGGUCAAGUCACGGAAGGCCUUAAAUGCUGUUUGAAGGAGUCUGCACUCCCUUGGCACCCCAGCAACAUCAGUAGCCUAAGUGACUUCUGGAAGCUUCACCAUUUCAUCUCCUAGAUUCUGGCUUCCCUCCUGAUAACUAGAGGAGGCUCCAUGGAUUUUAUGCAAAUUUGUGAACCUCUGCACCGGAACCUUUAAGAUCCAUCUACCGAAACGAAUUACACCCUUUCAAUGGAGCAGCGGAUGCCUGUCUGCCGUGAGCUGCAUGAUACAAGAGGCCAUGCAAAGGCUUCUAGAAGACCUGCUCCAAGAUGACGUGCUGCCUCCACCAUUUGGUCCCUGCUGUGCUCCUCCAGGGCCUUGCCAGCCUGGGAGAGAGGAGGUGUGACGGGUAACUGGCAUGGCCCUGCCAGGGGAGCUGCAGCUAACAGGGAACCAGGGGCCUCUUGCCGGCAGCUGCCCUUGAAGGCUGGGCCAGAUGCCAGACCUCACCAACCAAGUCACAGGCACCGUCCAGGUGUUCCUGCUGAUGUACCCGGAUUUAAAUCCCCCACCUCCGGGGGUGGGGGCACUCGACAGCAAGCCCCCUUGUGUGACUCUUUCUUCCAAAGCAAAUUCAAGGUGCUGUUUCUGGGAGGUGGAAGAUGACUCAAUAAACAGCACCCCUCUCUCUCUCAUCCCUUACUUGUGUCAACCAACUAAAAAAGAAGAGCGGUAGCAUAAAGAACCCACAACAUCACUUAUUUCAUUUCUGGUGAGGCCGAUGAAGCAUGUGACUUAUGUUAAUGGACAAGCAGAACUCCUGUUGCCAAACCCCAGAGUAAGACUUGCCCACUCAGUCAUGGAAAGACCUGAGUCAUUGCAGCCUCCUCACCUGGCAGCCUGUCCUUAUGGAGUAGAAUGACUGUCCUUUACUGGAUGUUUGCACCCAAGGAAAGAAAGAAAGAUGGGGCCAGGCUCCUUAUUCCUAGAUCACUUGUCAGAAUAAUCACUUCUACUCCACCAGGGAACACCUGUUCUCACACAGCCCCUCUGACUUGCCUCAUGCAAUCCCAGCCCUAUGAAAUCCUGUCUUUAGUUAAAAUUUUGGUAUUUUUUUAUCACAAGUUUUUUCAUUAACUAUACAUUUUCUGAAUAUUGCAUUAAGAUAUUAUUCCUCUUGAUUCCUAAGGUUUUUAGCUCCCCCUUAAGUUUUACACCUGAAAGAAAUGACUUACCCACCUCACCCUAGGCUCAGACCUGGUUUUAAAAUAAAUGUGUAAAGUAAUAAAUUAGUAAACAACUUUUUCUUAAUUAAA
Molecule: RNA transcript, 1884 nt
Organism: Sus scrofa (pig)
Lineage: Eukaryota; Metazoa; Chordata; Mammalia; Artiodactyla; Suidae
Source: RefSeq, a predicted model, not a curated record